This 378-nucleotide ribosomal RNA is filed under the name Wolterstorffina parvipalmata (Cameroon Wolterstorff Toad). Its description in RNAcentral is "partial 12S ribosomal RNA". It matches the Rfam family "Bacterial small subunit ribosomal RNA", at positions 794 to 1384 of the family's 1533-position model. The record is from RNAcentral. Lineage: Eukaryota; Metazoa; Chordata; Amphibia; Anura; Bufonidae.
GCCCAACCGUAAACUUUCACUUACACCUAAAUCGCCAGGGAACUACGAGCUAAGCUUAAAACCCAAAGGACUUGACGGUACCCCAUAUCCCCCUAGAGGAGCCUGUUCUAUAAUCGAUAAUCCACGUUUAACCUCACCAUUUUUAGUUAACCAGCCUGUAUACUUCCGUCGUCAGCUUACCACAUGAGCGCCAAUUAGUGAGCCUAAUGCUACUUCAUCAACACGUCAGGUCAAAGUGCAGCAAAUGAAAUGGGAAGAAAUGGGCUACACUUUCUAUAUUAGAAAAAACGAAAAACUACCUAUGAAACCUAGUUAGAAGGCGGAUUUAGCAGUAAAAAAGAAUCAACAUGUCCUUUUUAACCCGGCACUGGGGUGUGU